Canis lupus familiaris (dog) is the source of this 516-nucleotide long non-coding RNA. RefSeq lists it as uncharacterized. The record is from RefSeq and is a predicted model, not a curated record. NCBI's taxonomy places the organism in Eukaryota, Metazoa, Chordata, Mammalia, Carnivora, Canidae. The transcript is spliced from 3 exons.
ACCAGCACACGAGGGACACAGCAAUUCACUGAUAAAAAAAAAAAAAAAAAAAAAAAAAAAAGAUACACAAAAAACUGUCCCCAGCCUUCCCUGCGUCUUCCCCUCCGAAGUUACAAUUGGGGAACAGGUCGUGGGGGUGUCUUUGUGGAUAGGUAACGCUGGAUUAACAUCAAGAUUUCUGCUCUUAUGGGUCCAGUGGAAUUUAUAUGCUAAACAUAUAUGUCCUCAAGGCUCCAACAUGGAAGUUAUUGCCCGAGGGGAUCCAGGUGAGAGAAAUGACUACAACAACCCAUCACCUGGUCUCUUCUGCCAAAAGGGGGGAAAAAUCAAGAGCUGCUCUUAAAAGAAGUUGCCCUUGCUGGUGCUCGGGGUAAAAAUAGAGGCGGCCCGCUCGGAGCGGCUUUGGCCCAGACUCCAGCGCCGCGAGCCGGGCUCGAGCAGCGGCCGCGUCCGGCGUGAUCCCUGGGAGCUGCCAGCAGGUGCUGCUCAAGAGCAUUUGCUGAAGAGGAGGAGGGA